This 496-nucleotide ribosomal RNA is filed under the name uncultured bacterium. Its description in RNAcentral is "partial 16S ribosomal RNA". It matches the Rfam family "Bacterial small subunit ribosomal RNA", at positions 28 to 523 of the family's 1533-position model. The record is from RNAcentral.
GAUGAACGCUAGCGGGAGGCCUAACACAUGCAAGUCGAACGGGAUUGGGAGCUUGCUCCCAUGAGAGUGGCGCACGGGUGAGUAACGCGUAUGCAACCUACCUUUAACUGAGGGAUAGCCCAUAGAAAUGUGGAUUAAUACCUCAUAGUUCUUUUGGCCCGCACGGGUCGAUAGAUAAAGCACCGGCGUGUAAAGAUGGGCAUGCGUGACAUUAGCUAGUUGGGAAGGUAACGGCUUACCAAGGCUACGAUGUCUAGGGGUUCUGAGAGGAUGAUCCCCCACACUGGUACUGAGACACGGACCAGACUCCUACGGGAGGCAGCAGUGAGGAAUAUUGGUCCAUGGGCGCAAGCCUGAACCAGCCAUCCCGCGUGAAGGAUGAAGGCCCUAUGGGUCGUAAACUUCUUUUAUACGCCAAGAAAAAUCCCCACGUGUGGGGACCCGACGGUAGUGUAUGAAUAAGCAUCGGCUAACUACGUGCCAGCCGCCGCUGUAA